CAUCUACUUCCAUUUGUAGCAAAAUUAUAUCUAUAGCAUAAUGUGAUGUAUUUAUUUCUAUGAAUAAUGUCUUUAAAAAUUUGACGCAAUAAAAAAUUGGCAUAGAAAUAAAUAUUUUCUUUAAGGCUUGAAAACAUAUUUUAGCUUCUUUGCUCUACUCAAAUUUAUUUUUACAUGUCAAAUAUAUAAGAAGAGCUGUAAUUUGAAAAAAGUUCUUAAUGAA
RNAcentral lists this long non-coding RNA (223 nucleotides) under Physcomitrium patens. Its description in RNAcentral is "long non-coding RNA (PPAT_LNC006575)". The record is from RNAcentral. Lineage: Eukaryota; Viridiplantae; Streptophyta; Bryopsida; Funariales; Funariaceae.